GCAAGUCGAGCGGACAGAUGGGAGCUUGCUCCCUGAUGUCAGCGGCGGACGGGUGAGUAACACGUGGGUAACCUGCCUGUAAGACUGGGAUAACUCCGGGAAACCGGGGCUAAUACCGGAUGCUUGAUUGAACCGCAUGGUUCAAUUAUAAAAGGUGGCUUCUACCUACCACUUACAAAUGGACCCCCGCCGCAUUACCUAGUUGGUGAGGUAACGGCUCACCAAGGCAACAAUGCUUAGCCAACCUGAAAGGGUGAUCGGCCACACUGGGACUGAAA
Molecule: ribosomal RNA, 278 nt
Filed under: Bacillus sp. PSu4_40
Lineage: Bacteria; Bacillati; Bacillota; Bacilli; Caryophanales; Bacillaceae
Description: partial 16S ribosomal RNA
Rfam family: Bacterial small subunit ribosomal RNA
Source: RNAcentral